GCUUCUUUUAUAGGAGUGGGGUGGGGUCAGUCUCAGCUGGGGUGGAUUUAAGUGAGGUAGUAUUAAGAGAUUGGACAAGCCUGUGAUAUCACUAGGAGAGUCUUGUGACAUCACUAGCUUCUAGGAGGAGGUGGCAAGUAUCAGGUUACUCUUUUGGUGGGAGAAGAACAUGAUGGGAAGAAGAAACCUGUCCUUUGUUGGGAGAAGCCAUAUUUUAACAUGAAGGCUGCUAUUCCAUGUGGCAUCCAUCUUUAGGUAUCUGGAGUGCAGAUCCUGGAAAGGCUGUGAUGUGCUACAAAUCUUCACCAUUUUUUCCUCCCUGGAGGAUCAAUUUAGCCAAACAAUGGAGAUUUCUGAGAAAGAACAGAAAUAUGAGAAGUAAAAAGCACAGUAAGUGAAAUAAAAAACUCAGCACAAAGGCUCACCAAUAGACUGAAUCACACAGGAAGCAUAAUUUCAGGACCAGAAAAAAGGUUGAUUAAUUGUCACACGCACUAAUAAAUAAAAAGUAAGAAAUUAUGGACAAAAUAUCAAAAAAACUCUGUGGUAUGGUUAAAGAUGAAACUUAGACUUUUUCAAGUAGAAGAGGACACCACAGUUUAGACUGACAACAUUAAAAAACCUAUUUGAUAAAAUAAUAAAAUAAAACUUCCUGAAUCUUGGGAAAGAAAUUGAUAUCCAGGAAAUGGAAAGCAUUUAGAAGCUGAAACCAACAUAACCAGAAAAUAACCUCUCCAUGUCACAUUAUAGUUAAAAAUGCACGGAGCAAGGGGAUUACCUAAAAAGCUCACAGGCUAUGGAGCUACACAGAGAUAGCAGCAGCUUAGAUCUAGAGGGUCACAGACACUGAGAGCCAGUAGAGUGAAUACAAUCACAAAGCAGAGACGAAACCAAUAAUUGACCCUACCUAGCAGGAAAGAAAGGGCAGGAGUCAGCACUCACCACACCCACACACCCACCCAUGAACACACAUACACCCACACCGUGGGUGUGGAAAUAAAUUAGGCACUAGCUGUGACUCAAAAUCCUUUUCCUUCACCUGGGAGAUUCUCAUACUAUAGUCCCUGAAAAGAAAUCACUCAUCCAAACACAAAGAGAAAUUUUUAGGGAGUUUUUUUCCCCCCU
RNAcentral lists this long non-coding RNA (1125 nucleotides) under Fukomys damarensis (Damara mole-rat). Its description in RNAcentral is "lncRNA (ENSFDAG00000026499.1)". Lineage: Eukaryota; Metazoa; Chordata; Mammalia; Rodentia; Bathyergidae. The record is from RNAcentral.